GAGUUUGAUCGUGGCUCAGAUUGAACGCUGGCGGCAUGCCUUACACAUGCAAGUCGAACGGCAGCACGGGAGCUUGCUCCUGGUGGCGAGUGGCGAACGGGUGAGUAAUGCAUCGGAACGUAUCCUGGAGUGGGGGAUAACGUAGCGAAAGUUACGCUAAUACCGCAUAUUCUGUGAGCAGGAAAGCGGGGGACCUUCGGGCCUUGCGCUCUUGGAGCGGCCGAUGUCGGAUUAGCUAGUUGGUGAGGUAAAGGCUCACCAAGGCGACGAUCCGUAGCAGGUCUGAGAGGAUGAUCUGCCACACUGGAACUGAGACACGGUCCAGACUCCUACGGGAGGCAGCAGUGGGAAUUUUGGACAAUGGGGGCAACCCUGAUCCAGCCAUGCCGCGUGAGUGAAGAAGGCCUCGGUUGUAAGU
RNAcentral lists this ribosomal RNA (418 nucleotides) under bacterium enrichment culture clone ALO1_GLFRUDD03FYTV5. RNAcentral describes it as "bacterial SSU rRNA". It matches the Rfam family "Bacterial small subunit ribosomal RNA", at positions 9 to 430 of the family's 1533-position model. The record is from RNAcentral.